CAGACGGGGGGGAAAAAAGAGGACAAAAAGGGGGAAAAGAGAGAGAAAGAGAACAAACAAAACUAAUGAACAAUGGGGUUAACAGGACAGAGGCGAUGCUACACGUAAGACAGCAAGCAGAGGCGAGGAGGACUGACGGACAAAGCGAGGAUGAGAACUGCUGGAGCAGCCAUGUCAGGACCGUAGACCAUGCACAUAUAACAGCACAACCAAUAAAAACACACACAGUGGGGCUGACUUAAGUCAAUACAGACUGAUACUAGAGUACGCUGCUUAAUCAUAUAAACUGUUGCGAUGCAGAAAGAGGAAGCAUGGUGUGUCAUCUGUGUGAGUGCCCAAGCAAAUCCGGACAGCCUGAAGCCGGGCAGAUGAUGGAAGGAAGACAAUGAGAACCCCUUGGAGCUUCAAGACAACGUCGCCCUUGAAGGAUAAUAGGCCUAAGCAGAAUCAUUCACCGGCGAUCGGAGCACAAUGCAUGCCGGUUAGAUUUGUGUCCAACUUGAUCCCGACUUGCUCUGAUGUCAUGCACACGUGGCCAACGAUAACCUCAAGAGAUCGAGGUGGCCGCAGUUUUUUAGAGCCAGGCGCCACAGACUGCAAGACCCAGGGCAUUAUGGGAAACGCAUGGCUGUCGCCUUAUCAAAGAGCUGAUUGGCUCUUAGUUUUGACAACAAACACCACGUGUUAUAGAAAGUCCUAACUUUCUGUGUGAUUGUAAUAUUUAACACUAGAUUGUACGCUAUCAGUCUCAUGUUGUACAAUGAAGGUUUCAUCUGUUAAACAUAUCUUGUGUGGUUGAUAAUAAUAAUAAUAAUGAAGGUUAUUUAUAGCACUUAUUAAACAAAGUGCUUUACAAGGCAAAAAAUAAUAAAGGAUAGAAUCCAAUGCCAGAUACACGCACAUUUUCACAUAUAUUUACAAAUAAAUAUAAAUAAAUCUGAAGAAACUUGGAGAACCACACUUGCAAACUACAAGUAGCCUACAGAUCGGAUCUAACAAGAUGUAACUUUUCCUGUGACUUCAUGUAAAUUCAUUGAAGGCUGUUGGAAAUGGCUGAAUACUGUCCGACUUGACCGCAGCUUUUUGUCACUGCCCCCUGCUGCUGCCGCCUGAUCUUGUCUGCUUUCCAGGCGAGGCGAGGUUCAUCUCGAAUGAGCCUAUUAUGUCACUU
This is a long non-coding RNA of Sebastes umbrosus (honeycomb rockfish), 1171 nucleotides long. RefSeq lists it as uncharacterized. The record is from RefSeq and is a predicted model, not a curated record. The transcript has 3 exons. NCBI's taxonomy places the organism in Eukaryota, Metazoa, Chordata, Actinopteri, Perciformes, Sebastidae.